Molecule: ribosomal RNA, 253 nt
Filed under: uncultured bacterium
Lineage: Bacteria
Description: partial 16S ribosomal RNA
Rfam family: Bacterial small subunit ribosomal RNA
Source: RNAcentral
UACGAAGGGAGCUAGCGUUGUUCGGAAUCACUGGGCGUAAAGCGCACGUAGGCGGAUGUGUCAGUCAGGGGUGAAAUCCCGGAGCUCAACUUCGGAACUGCCUUUGAUACUGGAGAUCUCGAGUCCGGGAGAGGUGAGUGGAACUGCGAGUGUAGAGGUGAAAUUCGUAGAUAUUCGCAAGAACACCAGUGGCGAAGGCGGCUCACUGGCCCGGUACUGACGCUGAGGUGCGAAAGCGUGGGGAGCAAACAGG